This 57-nucleotide transfer RNA is filed under the name Clostridium botulinum. Its description in RNAcentral is "tRNA-Met". It matches the Rfam family "tRNA", at positions 8 to 62 of the family's 71-position model. From Rfam's summary of the family: Transfer RNA (tRNA) molecules are approximately 80 nucleotides in length. Their secondary structure includes four short double-helical elements and three loops (D, anti-codon, and T loops). Further hydrogen bonds mediate the characteristic L-shaped molecular structure. tRNAs have two regions of fundamental functional importance: the anti-codon, which is responsible for specific mRNA codon recognition, and the 3' end, to which the tRNAs corresponding amino acid is attached (by aminoacyl-tRNA synthetases). tRNAs cope with the degeneracy of the genetic code in two manners: having more than one tRNA (with a specific anti-codon) for a particular amino acid; and 'wobble' base-pairing, i.e. permitting non-standard base-pairing at the 3rd anti-codon position. The record is from RNAcentral. Lineage: Bacteria; Bacillati; Bacillota; Clostridia; Eubacteriales; Clostridiaceae.
UGGAGCAGUUGGUAGCUCGUCGGGCUCAUAACCCGAAGGUCGCAGGUUCAAGUCCUG